ACUCUGUGCUCCCCUAAUUUGCUUAUGGUAUCACCUUCAUGUCUAAACUAUGUACCCAUUAUGACUAUAUCUUGGUAUGAAGUGUCAUUGGUUUAUACCUAGUUUCUGCCAAACUGCUUUCCAGUUUUCCCGGUAGUUUUUGUGAGAUAGUGAGUUUUUCUCCUCCAAGCUGGAAUCUUUCUGAUUAUCAAACACUAGAUUACUAUGGUCAUUACCUACUGUGUAUUGUGUACCCAAUUUAUUCCACUGAUCUACCACUUUAACUCUUAGUACCAUAUUGUUUUGAUGAUUACAGUUUUAUAUUACAUUUUGAGAUCUGGUAUGGGAAUUCAUAAAAAUUUGGUCUUCUACUCAGAGAAGGAAACAAAGAUGAAAUGUUUAGUGAUCAGUGAGGUGUCAGAUAGGCAUCCUGAAAAAUGGCAACUUUUACAAUAUCCUCCGACAAGCAUAUUGUGAGACUUCUUACUUUGCAAAUGACCUCUCUGGGUAAUGUGUGUUUAUAUCCAAAAUAAAGUUCUUUGCCAAAAUACA
RNAcentral lists this long non-coding RNA (531 nucleotides) under Monodelphis domestica (gray short-tailed opossum). RNAcentral describes it as "lncRNA (ENSMODG00000036962.1)". The record is from RNAcentral. Lineage: Eukaryota; Metazoa; Chordata; Mammalia; Didelphimorphia; Didelphidae.